RNAcentral lists this ribosomal RNA (505 nucleotides) under uncultured bacterium. Its description in RNAcentral is "partial 16S ribosomal RNA". It matches the Rfam family "Bacterial small subunit ribosomal RNA", at positions 28 to 523 of the family's 1533-position model. The record is from RNAcentral.
GAUGAACGCUAGCGAUAGGCCUAACACAUGCAAGUCGAGGGGCAGCAUGAUUGUAGCAAUACAAUAGAUGGCGACAGGCGCAAGGGUGAGUAACACGUAUGCAACCUACCUACAACAGGGGAAUAACCCGGAGAAAUUCGGACUAAUACCGCAUAACUCAGGGAUUCCGCAUGGAAAUAUUUGUUAAAGAUUUAUCGGUUAUAGAAGGGCCUGCGUGCCAUUAGCCGGGUGGUGAGGUAACGGUUCACCAAAGCAACGAUGGAUAGGGGAACUGAGAGGUUUAUCCCCCACACUGGAACUGGGACACGGACCAGACUCCUACGGGAGGCAGCAGUGAGGAAUAUUGGUCAAUGGGCGAGAGCCUGAGCCAGCCAAAUCGCGUGAAGGACGACUGCCCUAUGGGUUGUAAACUUCUUUUAUAUGGGAAUAAAAAGGGGAACGUGUACCCCAUUGCAAGUACCAUACGAAUAAGCAUCGGCUAACUCCGUGCCAGCCGCCGCCAUAA